Molecule: long non-coding RNA, 296 nt
Organism: Uloborus diversus
Lineage: Eukaryota; Metazoa; Arthropoda; Arachnida; Araneae; Uloboridae
Exons: 3
Source: RefSeq, a predicted model, not a curated record
CUAUCGCCGAGUGAUGAAAUUAAAGUGUUUCGAGUUGAAGGGGAGGGGGAGGAUGAGGAGAGAUCGUCUGCCGAAAAUUUGAAGGAGGUCAAAACCAGCCUCGUUACCGAAGUUACAGAAGAAGAGGAGAAUCGAGUUCAAUUAUCCAGUCAGAGUUUUCAUCCUUCCAAAAAUCCUCUUAUACCCAGAUCCGAUUAUAGCGCUUUCGGAAAACAUUUUGAAUAUUAUCCUCCUGCACCUUUUGGAUACGUUGUACCUUAUCAUCGGAAUGGAGCUUUGGGUGCUUUAUCAAUGGU